This 6340-nucleotide long non-coding RNA is filed under the name Lactuca sativa (garden lettuce). RNAcentral's name for it is "long non-coding RNA (LSAT_LNC007466)". Lineage: Eukaryota; Viridiplantae; Streptophyta; Magnoliopsida; Asterales; Asteraceae. The record is from RNAcentral.
GAAUGCUCCCGAGUCCUCAGUAUUAGUCUGAAAUGCCUACCGGGCCCUUUGCUCAUAUAUGGCAUACUCCCGAGUCCUCAGUAUGAGUCUGGAAUGCCUACCGAGCCCUCAGCUCAUAUCUGGAAUACUCUAGGGUUUGUUGGCUACCGCAUGGAGCAAUACAACCUCAACCCAACCCACAUAACAUAUAACAUAACUACUGAGCAUGCAAUAAUCAUAUAACAUCACAGGUAGUCCUACAGGUCUACCUAACUGGCAUAACCACUAGCAUGCAACACAAACUUAUACUCAACAUGAAACACUACAAGGAUAACAUAUCGAAUGUGUCGGCCUUGGUGCGUUAGACCCCUUAGUAUAGUGAGGAUAACUCACCUUGCAACUAUCGAACCAAAUCACAAGAGCACAAUCCAGAAGCACCGCCUCAAACUCCAACACCUAAAUCCAUCAAUAAUCAUUGACAUAAAUAUCCAAAUUACCAUAAUACCCCUAAAGGACAAAGUCAAAGUCAACCUUCCUGCUUGACUCUACUCGCCGAGUCAACCCGUCGACUCGCCGAGUUCUCAUAUAUAGAAAACUCUCAUAUCACGACUUAACUCUCCGAGCCGCCCCAAGACACUUCGAGUCCAACGAUCUCUGAGUUCCAUCCUGAACAACUCACUGAGUCCCCAACCGAAUCACUAAUCCAAGGCUUUAACUGACAGAGGUUAGGUUAUGCGAGCAGACUUGCCGAGUCCAAAAAUAGACACGUCGAGUUCACGACAAUCUUCAAUAGACUCGCCGAGUUGUUCUUCCAACUCGUCAAGUCCAAGAUCAACAUCAUAAGACUCGCCGAGUGACCCAUGCAUCUCUCCGAGUUACCACGCGACUCAAUGUCUGAUCUCUAUCCUGACUUGCCGAGUCAUCUCCUAGACUCGCCGAGUCCAUACGUGCAUUCUCAUAAUCUCGAGUCACAGAGCUACUCCUUUUCUCCAAACAAUAGAUCUGGGUCUUUAGGGUCCAUUAGCAACAUAAAUUUGCCACCUUUACGUGCUUCUUGCCCCAUAAUACCAAACACCAAGCUAGAAAGGGACUUAACUCUUGAGGAAGUGCUUUUGCAUAACAACUAGAAAGGCUUUCUGCAUCAAUGAUCCAUAUAGAACUCAGAUGUGGAGUUUCAACUCCAGAUCUAACUCAUGCUUCAAGAUCUCAUCAAUAUUUCUCCAACCAAACCCUAAAACUCCAUGAAAAUGGAACUAGAAAGGAGAAGGCGAAGGAUAACGAUUCCUUACCUCCAAAAUGAUCUCCUACUGAAGUAUAAUCCGCUUCUCUUCAAGUCUCCUUGAUCCAUGCUUCUUGAUCUUCAAGAUCCCUUCACAAGUCACUCCAAUUUGCUUCCAGGUGUUCUCACAAACGUAAUUAGGGCUUCUGGAUCUCAAAAGGGUAGCAAAGAGGUUGAGGGUGGGUUAUAAUGUGCUUUCUAUAUGGCACAACCCCUAGGAUUAGGGUUUUCUCCCUUCAGCACCAACUCGUCGAGUACAAGCCACCGACUCGGUGAGUUGGCCACUUAAACCCGCAACAAAUCCCGCUCUGACUCGGCGAGUAAGCAUGCCUACUCAUCGAGUCCCUUUCCUCAAUUUACAAUUUAAGCCCUUCAAAAGCACCUCUGGAAUUUGGGGUGUUACAACUCUCCCCCACUUAAAUUAGGCUUCGUCCUCGAAGCCUACUACAGUAUAUGCUUCAGGACAAACCCCUUGCACUGCAGACUCCGAUUUUCUCAAUUAACUCAUGCUCUUACAAACCCUACUUCUAUAUGUCUCUUGAAAUGGCUUAUCCGUACGUGGCAUCCUUGCCACUAUUCGAAGCCAACCAUCGGUCUUUCAACUCCAUAGCACCACAUAUCAGUCACAUAUCACCCAAUGAUACCAUCCCUUCAAAUCAGGAACACACCUUCACGCCCUGCGAACACUAGAUAACACAAACACCCACUGAGCUCUGUUAAGACACUAAUCCAUCCUCCUUCGCCCAUUAUUGGCGAUAACCCUGAUAACUUGCAACCUGGAAUGAACCUUAUUUUCCCCUAUGAUCCUAUACCUCACGCACCGACAGGAUACCGCAUCCUUCAGCUCCCAUAGCCCAUCAACCAAACAUCUCGCGUAACCACUUGUACCUGGCCCACUCAGCCUCGUGCUGUAAAACCGGGCACGCCCAUGACGAGUCCAGACUACUCCCGAGUCUGUUAACCUGCUGUCUCACCUUCCUCUAUCCAAAUCUCCAAUCUAGAACCACUAUCCUCCUCCUAUUCCAAGGAGACUAAAAACAUGCCUACGCAUCAUCCAACAUUGCCACAACCUCAACGCGCGUUCUACCCGUAAGUGAUUCCAUUGCUUCCAUAUAUCUGGUACAGCCCCAAUGCUUACUAUCAAUAACUGAAGUACUUUCGAUCUCCCAUUUACACUACUGCUUGCCAUUCAGAGGACACACACUCCAUCCGGAGCUACACACCUUUCUUUUCCAGGAAACCUACUCAACAACCCUUACCACACUUACAAGUGCCACUGAGCUAAACUCCACUCUACACUAUCUAUGUAGAGCAACAGCUAUUCCAGAACUCCCAUAUAAUCCAAUUCCGAUCACAUACUAACUAGGCCCACGUACGACCUCCAGCCAACUCCAACAUCAUGAUCAAUACUUAGGGCCACACCAUCUCGAUUACCAUUGCAUGGCGACAUAUUCACUCAUUCUCCUCAUACUGAUCCACUAACACAUACAGAGUCUUCAGCAUGACUGGACCGCCUUUCCAGACCUUCAGCCUAUCUGGACCACUCUCAGAACCUUCAGCAUGUCUGUACCGUUCCCCGAGAUCAUAAUACCACUAUGCAUGAUCCACCUAUAGAUAAAGUUGCUUAUCCAAGCAAAAUCCUGCAACCCUUGGUCGCACUCGACCCCAGAAUAGAAUGAUAGACGAAUCUUAGAUCCAACUUGCAAACUAUAACCCAGACCUGAUGACAGGUAUAUCGAAUCAACUCUAAUGCCAUCAUAAAUACCCGCCGUUACACAUGAAGAACCACUACCGUGAAUAUAAUUGGGAGUCCUUAACUUCACAUUCACUCGCCACAAAGCCCAUACUGGAUCGAGACAUAUCUGAUUCUACCGAUACAGAACUAGCCCGAGAAGACUUCCACAAUUAUCCCGAAGGUUACCGCCACACGAGUCUAAUACAGAUCAAAAUUCUAUUUCACCAUUGGGGAGAAACAUAACCCAAAGACUUUGGGAACAUAAACACACUGCAUAAGGGAAUGGGUGGCACGAUCCUAGCUUCGCAACUGUCGCCUCUUGAACCCAUUUGGAGAAUUCCCGCUCCCUAAGGGUUCACAACUUAAUGUCUGUCCGACCAUUCUGGAAAACAUAAUCUCAGCAGCAACAGAAAAAACCUUCAAUGGCUGAUGCUCAACCUGAGAAUUACCAAUUCUCCCCCACUUAGAACACUAACCACCACCCACUGGUGUGAAGCCCAACAUAACUUAGCUGACAAUCCCUAAUGCUCGAAUGGUCCCACUCUCAAAUCUUGAAGUCCAAAGAUAGAUGCUCUACUAAUACUUCAGCAACAAGCUAUUUCCCUUAGCGCUCUCAUACGCUAAUUAAUAACGAUUACUAAAAACCAUUGAAUCCUGACAAUGUUGAAUAACUAUCCCAUAGGACUCUGUCCGCAACCUCCCACAUAAUACCCUUCUUCCCAAAGUACUCCGAAAAAUCUCCCACCCUCGGCUCUAGAAAUACUAUCAUUCAGGGUCUCGCACCCUGCUUACUCACCAGCUCGAUCAUCCAUAUCUGAACUACAGUAGCCGAAGCAACCUCUGCCCUAAACCGGGUUACAAACAACUCCCAAGACAUAGUCUCUAGUCCCCAAAAGUGCAAUAGAUCGUACAAUCAAUACUUAGAGCUCGAUACAAGAGAUCCAAGGUGAACCAGACCUCACAACACACUCAUGCCACAUCGACCCACCCAUGCUUACUAGCGAUGAAAUACUGUCGCCAAUCCUGGUGACCAGCUAACCCGAGCUGGAACACAACCUGAUCCUAGGGUCGCAAGCCUGCUCAAUGCUUGGAGUUCGAACAACUGGAAGAGUAUAAUCCUUGCCCUAGGAAACGACAUUCUUAUCCAUCUAUUAUCCAUUCUACUUCCAGCUACAAAACUCUAACUGAUCAUAAUCAUCGUCCCCUUUCGAAGUCUCUGCAACUCAAAUCUCGGCCUGAAGCAUGACUCCUGAAGCCUCAAACUAGGAAACUAAUAUACUAACUUCUCCCGCUCAACCUGCGGAGUGCAUCGAGUGUGAAACAUUUCCCCAAUCCCAAGUAACUACAGCCCACUGCUCACCAAAAUAUGUCCCAGUGACAAGUCUCGGUACUGCAAGCUCGACCAGCUCCUUCCUUCUGCCGCAGUUACAGCUGUUGUAGCUAUCACAGCGACCGUCCCUGUAAUGGCUGCAUAGCGCUCGUCGAAAUACUCAACUAUGACGGUCUUGAUAGACCCAAACAUAUCCGACAAUUUUUCCCGGACCAUAUCGAUCACCCCCUCCCGGAUGAUCUCACUAACACAAUCCUCUGACAAUACUGACGUAUCCUUACUGACAACUCUCAAUCCUGACCUGGAUUCAGUCUCAAAACGCUUUGUAAUCACCAUUUUGGAAAUACACCAGAAAGAUCUCGAAUAACCCAUAUGCUAACAGGGAACCGACUUCCAACCAACCCUAGGGGUUAUGACUUCCUUGUUAUGCGUAUGGGUUUUGUGCUUUCAGUAGUAUGGGCCCCUACUACCUUCCACACCUACCCAUAUUUGUCUCAAGUAUCACCACAACACCGUGACAAUAUAUGUAAACAUAGCGAGCGCUCAAUCCUCACUCCUAGAGGAAUGUUGGAUAUCUCAUAACUUGCCUCCCGGCCUCUCACAACCCACCUAUCCAUGAAACUUCCACCAACCCUGCCGCACUAGUGUAUGCUAGCCAUACAUAACGCUGGACCCUAUAGACUUUCGAAUAUCCAAUCCUACCCUAAGCUCCCAAUCAAACAAGAAUAGAACAUACGGCCAAAUCAAACAUUCUCAGGCUAUAACAUCUUAGUUAUGUAUAACCGUGAUGCCUACACUAGAUAACUACAACUAUGGUGUCAACUUCAUAUAAGAGAAACCCUAAGCUAGCAGACAUCAUGUAAUCAGGCAAUUCUACCAUGCAAUUCCUGAAGAUACCUAGCCUAGUACUAGCAUGAUGUUCUAACAUAUCACAUAAUCAAAUACUUUUAUGGUAUUUUGGGGUCUACUUACUGGCUCCGGCUGAUCGUACACUUCGCAUCCUCUUUUAGUUAUUUUGAAAACCAUUUAGAAACCAUUUUGAAAAUAUUACCUUAUUUUGAGACUGGAUACACAUGAAUGUUCCUCUAAUUCACUCAAACCAAGUCUCUAAUACCAACUUGUAACAUCCAAAAUUUCGAACCAAAUUAAACUUGUAAAACAUACCAAGUUCAUCAAAACAUUACAACUUUGUUUUCAAAAUAUAUUGAUUAUCAAUGUUUUUCACAGAAACAUAAACAUAAUAAGAGGAGCUGUAUGAUCACACCUUCGCCUUGUCAUGAUCCUCUGAUGUGCCUGAAACAAUAAGCCGAAACUGUAAGCCUGAAAGCUUAGUGUGUUACACCCAAAAUACUGAUAAACAUACAGUCCACAUAGCAAUAUCAACAUUAGCAUAGAAUAUCAAUAAAACAGAACAACAUAUACUGGGUCUACAACUUAACAAGCUGGACUACCCGUGGGCCCUUAGUACGAGUCUAGAAUGCCUACCGGGCCCUCAGCUCGUAUCUGGAAUGCCAUCGAGCCCUCAGUACGAGUCUGGAAUGCCUACCGGGCCCUCAGCUCGUAUUUGGAAUGCUCCCGAGUCCUCAAUAUGAGUCUGAAAUGCCUACCGGGCCCUCAGCUCAUAUCUGGCAUACUUUCGAGUCCUCAGUAUGAGUCUGGAAUGCCUACCGAGCCCUCAGCUCAUAUCUGGAAUACCCCUGAGUCCUCAGUAUGAGCCUGGAAUGCCUACCAGGCCCUCAGCUCAUAUCUGGAAUACUCUAGGGUUUGUUGGCUACCGCAUGGAGCAGUACAACCUCAACCCAACCCACAUAACAUAUAAAAUAACUAUUGAGCAUGCAAUCAUCAUAUAACAUCACAGGUUGUCCUACAGGUCUACCUAACUGGCAUAACCACUAGCAUGCACCACAAACUCAUACUCAACAUGAAACACUACUAGGAUAACAUAUCAAAUGGGUCGGCCUUGGUGCCUUAGACCCCUUAGUAUAGUGAGGAUAACUCACCUUGCAACUACCGAACC